GAUGAACGCUGGCGGCGUGCCUAAUACAUGCAAGUCGAGCGAACAGACGAGGAGCUUGCUCCUCUGACGUUAGCGGCGGACGGGUGAGUAACACGUGGAUAACCUACCUAUAAGACUGGGAUAACUUCGGGAAACCGGAGCUAAUACCGGAUAAUAUAUUGAACCGCAUGGUUCAAUAGUGAAAGACGGUUUUGCUGUCACUUAUAGAUGGAUCCGCGCCGCAUUAGCUAGUUGGUAAGGUAACGGCUUACCAAGGCAACGAUGCGUAGCCGACGUGAGAGGGUGAUCGGCCACACUGGAACUGAGACGCGGUCCAGACUCCUACGGGAGGCAGCAGUAGGGAAUCUUCCGCAAUGGGCGAAAGCCUGACGGAGCAACGCCGCGUGAGUGAUGAAGGUCUUCGGAUCGUAAAACUCUGUUAUUAGGGAAGAACAAAUGUGUAAGUAACUAUGCACGUCUUGACGGUACCUAAUCAGAAAGCCACGGCUAACUACGUG
This 497-nucleotide ribosomal RNA is filed under the name uncultured bacterium. Its description in RNAcentral is "partial 16S ribosomal RNA". It matches the Rfam family "Bacterial small subunit ribosomal RNA", at positions 28 to 507 of the family's 1533-position model. The record is from RNAcentral.